CAUACAAGUGAGAAUGCUGGCAUGAGUAGCGAGAGAGGGGUGAGAAACCCCUCCGCCGUAAGUCCAAGGGGUUCCUGGGGAAGGCUAAUCCGCCCAGGGUAAGUCGGGAGCUAAGGCGAGGCCGAGAGGCGUAGUCGAUGCACAACCGGUUGAUAUUCCGGUACUACCGUGUACGCGCCCAAACCAAGUUCCGGUUGCUAAGGGGCUGUUUCCUUCGGGAAACGAACCGACCCACUGGAAGGCGGUUAGCAAUGAGGGGACGCAGGAGGGUAGGUGAGCCCAGGCGAUGGUUGUCCUGGGGUAAGCGCGUAGGGAGAGGUCUAGGCAAAUCCGGCCCUCAUAAAUCCUGAGACGCAAUGCCGAGCCGUUUAAGGCGAAGUCACUAAUCCCAUGCUGCCAAGAAAAGCCUCUAGCGAGCUUGCACGGUACCCGUACCCCAAACCGACACAGGUGGACAGGUAGAGAAUACCAAGGCGAUCGGGAG
RNAcentral lists this ribosomal RNA (484 nucleotides) under uncultured bacterium. RNAcentral describes it as "bacterial LSU rRNA". It matches the Rfam family "Bacterial large subunit ribosomal RNA", at positions 1281 to 1696 of the family's 2925-position model. The record is from RNAcentral.